This is a long non-coding RNA of Mercenaria mercenaria, 541 nucleotides long. RefSeq lists it as uncharacterized. The record is from RefSeq and is a predicted model, not a curated record. NCBI's taxonomy places the organism in Eukaryota, Metazoa, Mollusca, Bivalvia, Venerida, Veneridae. The transcript is spliced from 4 exons.
GCGUGAACUCGUGUUCAUUCAGUAGGCUGUCAGUAAAGCACGAGGAAGGACGCAUAUCGAAGCAGCGAGGAAGGACACAAAGCAGAAAGGCUGAUGAGUCUAUGAUUGGUGAUCUGCACCUUCUUCGUAACCCAAGUUUGUUCUGAUGUCUACCAUCAUUCCAGCUGACUCUCACAGUGGUGAACUUUAUAACAGCUGUCAUGGGAACCAGAACUAUUACCUCGGUGAAAGCCAAGACAUUUUCAUUGUUCAACUAACCAAUGCUAAUCAUGUGAUGCUUGUGAUUGUUGAGAGUGCAUGUUCAUUCAGCACACAGUUGGUAAAGGACAAAAAAAAGAGCACAGAGCAUGGAAGGAAGGCUUGAGAGCUAAGACUUUUAUUAUUUCCAUGCAUGGAAAUUGAAAAGAUGAGGGUCAUUGUGUAGAGAUCCAGGCGCUUUAUUCCCAAGAUGAUGUGAAAUGGUGCGAAGUGUUGUGUAUGUCUUCUGCCUUCACUCUCUACUAGACCACUACUGCAUGGAUCUUCAGAUCUUCAAUUAGUA